GGGUCAAUGCUGAGACUUACAUUGUCUGUACAGAGGUGAUGAUUUAAAAAUCAUGCUCAAUAGGAUUACACUGAGGUCC
RNAcentral lists this small nucleolar RNA (79 nucleotides) under Carlito syrichta (Philippine tarsier). RNAcentral describes it as "Small nucleolar RNA SNORD115 (ENSTSYG00000020985.2)". It matches the Rfam family "Small nucleolar RNA SNORD115". Rfam says of the family: HBII-52 is a member of the C/D class of snoRNAs, which contain the C (UGAUGA) and D (CUGA) box motifs. HBII-52 is encoded in a tandemly repeated array with another C/D snoRNA, HBII-85, in the Prader-Willi syndrome (PWS) region of chromosome 15. HBII-52 is exclusively expressed in the brain but is absent in PWS patients. Lineage: Eukaryota; Metazoa; Chordata; Mammalia; Primates; Tarsiidae. The record is from Rfam by way of RNAcentral.